Molecule: non-coding RNA, 30 nt
Filed under: Rattus norvegicus (Norway rat)
Lineage: Eukaryota; Metazoa; Chordata; Mammalia; Rodentia; Muridae
Source: RNAcentral
UGGUGAAGCUGCAAGACUGAAGCCUUGUGU